Molecule: ribosomal RNA, 253 nt
Filed under: uncultured bacterium
Lineage: Bacteria
Description: partial 16S ribosomal RNA
Rfam family: Bacterial small subunit ribosomal RNA
Source: RNAcentral
GACAGAGGGGGCAAGCGUUGCUCGGAAUCACUGGGCGUAAAGGGCGCGUAGGCGGGAAGUCAAGUCGGUCGUGAAAUCUCCGGGCUCAACCCGGAGGAGUCGGCCGAAACUGGUUUUCUUGAGGGAGGCAGAGGAGUCUGGAAUUCCCGGUGUAGCGGUGAAAUGUGUAGAGAUCGGGAGGAACACCGGUGGCGAAGGCGGGACUCUGGGCCUACCCUGACGCUGAGGCGCGAAGGCGUGGGGAGCAAACGGG